UUGGGUAUAGUCCCUGGAUGUCUGGUGUUUUUCAGGAGUUGCUACAGCUCACCUCAGGCAUAGAGACCUGGGUGGUAACUGUGGUCCUGAUUAGUCAAGAGGUCUCUCCUCUCACUGGGAGAAGUCCUGGAGACAGCUGCCCUCCUUCUGGGUUUCUUGCUGUAAAUUUAGUGAUCAGCUGUGGUAAUCUGUGGCGGGGGACUACAGAAUCCAGUGCCAAGAGAAAGCGGUAGAAAUCCCACAUGUCUAAACUGAGCCUACAGCAGACCCUGCAAGAAUCCUGAACGGAUGUGAAGUAUGGGUAAAAGUUGGCAUAGAGGAAACAGAAGAUAUAAUUGAGAAAAAAAGUUAAGACAAUCACAGGCAAGAGAAAGUAGAAUUCUAUACAUAGAGACAUUCUGCUGACUGUGGGGCACAGAAAGACCAAGAACAACGACAGGAAAGAUGAUGAAGAGCUUGCAUGUCAGCUUGCAUGUGUGUAUCAUGGCGGAGUUGGGGUCUUCUGCGGUCUUUCUU
Meriones unguiculatus (Mongolian gerbil) is the source of this 516-nucleotide long non-coding RNA. RefSeq lists it as uncharacterized. NCBI's taxonomy places the organism in Eukaryota, Metazoa, Chordata, Mammalia, Rodentia, Muridae. The record is from RefSeq and is a predicted model, not a curated record. The transcript has 3 exons.